GAGUGGCGAACGGGUGAGUAACACGUGGGUAACCUGCCCAUCAGAAGGGGAUAACACUUGGAAACAGGUGCUAAUACCGUAUAACACUAUUUUCCGCAUGGAAGAAAGUUGAAAGGCGCUUUUGCGUCACUGAUGGAUGGGCCCGCGGUGCAUUAGCUAGUUGGUGAGGUAACGGCUCACCAAGGCCACGAUGCAUAGCCGACCUGAGAGGGUGAUCGGCCACACUGGGACUGAGACACGGCCCAGACUCCUACGGGAGGCAGCAGUAGGGAAUCUUCGGCAAUGGACGAAAGUCUGACCGAGCAACGCCGCGUGAGUGAAGAAGGUUUUCGGAUCGUAAAACUCUGUUGUUAGAGAAGAACAAGGAUGAGAGUAAAAUGUUCAUCCCUUGACGGUAUCUAACCAGAAAGCCACGGCUAACUACGUGCCAGCAGCCGCGGUAAUACGUAGGUGGCAAGCGUUGUCCGGAUUUAUUGGGCGUAAAGCGAGCGCAGGCGGUUUCUUAAGUCUGAUGUGAAAGCCCCCGGCUCAACCGGGGAGGGUCAUUGGAAACUGGGAGACUUGAGUGCAGAAGAGGAGAGUGGAAUUCCAUGUGUAGCGGUGAAAUGCGUAGAUAUAUGGAGGAACACCAGUGGCGAAGGCGGCUCUCUGGUCUGUAACUGACGCUGAGGCUCGAAAGCGUGGGGAGCGAACAGGAUUAGAUACCCUGGUAGUCCACGCCGUAAACGAUGAGUGCUAAGUGUUGGAGGAUUUCCGCCCUUCAGU
Molecule: ribosomal RNA, 765 nt
Filed under: uncultured bacterium
Lineage: Bacteria
Description: bacterial SSU rRNA
Rfam family: Bacterial small subunit ribosomal RNA
Source: RNAcentral